CGAAGGAUAGGGUGCCUGGGGCCUGGGAGUGUGGGGAGAAAGGAGGAGGGGACACAGUUCUGAGAGAGAGGUGGGGCCGGCCCGGAGGCCUCAAUAGCUGCAGGAGCAGGAGGGUGCGAGAGUCCACGAUGGCCACGGUGCUCACGUGGGAACAGAGCCACUGCAGCAAGGAUACAGCUUCCUCGGCUCUGGCAGGAAAUAAGGUCCUGUGGACCAGGCAGUUGGGAGACAGUCUUAAGUGGUGGACAGAGCUCUGGCCAGAGACAGGAGUCCUGGGUGCUGGCUUUGCCAGUUACUCAUGGCGGGACUCUGGGCAUGCUUGGAACAUGGGAGUCCCAUCUGGGAGCCAGUGUGCUUGGAGCAGAGCAGGCAAGUGGCACAGUGCGUGCAGCAAUCACACAGGGCCUCGUGGGCCACUAACAGGACUCUGGCUUGUAUCCUGGGAAUGGCUGCCUUUGAGCAGAGCCCUACAUGAACUGAUUCAAGCUAAAUGGAGAAUUGCAGCUGCCCCGUGAACAGCCCAUGUGCCCAAUGCUGCCGGGCAGCCCGAGUGGAGCGCGAGAACUGCACCAGACGCUCCCUACCCCAGAGACUUGCCGCGCACCUGGGAGAAGCCACAGGGCAGUGUGUGUAGUGCUCAGAGCCAGGGCUUUCAAAACGGAAGAUCCCAGCUCUGUGGGCUUGAUGGCCUCAACAGUGACAUGGUGCUGGUAGCACCCUACAUGGUUGGGUUAUGGUGCAUGACAAAUUGCCUGCACAGAGUAGGCACUGAAAAUAAUAGUAGCUAGUUAUUUACAUAAUAAUACAGGGUAGCAGAGCUCCUCAUGAGAGGUGCAGGUGCUGGUGUUGGUGGUGCCGGAGGGACAUAGGCUAACCUCCAAAGAUGGCAGGACCUGGAGUCUCAGGUAGAUGAAAGAGGAAUGGGAGACGGAGCCCCGGACCUGGCAGGAAGAAGCGCAGUGCGUUCUCCACAGAGACACGAGGGUGAGGCCAGCAUGAAAUCUCAAAUGGAAGCCUCCAGAAGCUGGUGGGGGUUGGGGGGAGAUGCAGGAGAGGGCAUGGACCGGUGCAGAAUUAAGCUGGUGAGGAGGCCAGAUUCUGAAAAGCAUGAAUCGUCAAUGGCAACCCUCUAGGAAGCUUUCCUACCUGUGUGAGUCAGGUAGGUUCCCAGCCGGAACAGUCGAGUCCUGCAAAUGGGGUAACUGAGGAGAGUUUAAGAAGGGACUAUUGACAAUGUGUUUGGCUGGAUUAAAGGACACCAACAAGGGGUGAUGAAACAGCUAGCAGCAGCAGCUCAAGUCCUCGUUCCACCAUAAGUCCACAGGAACAAGGGAAGGGGGUAGCUACCAGAACUUUGCAAGACCUAUAGCUGUAAGAAGGGGCCUCCUGACAGGCUCUGUGGCCUUCAGUAGAGGACCACAGCCACAGCAGCCCCAGAUCCAUGGUGGCUGAUCAGGGAGGAAGCUGACCUCCUCCCCCUCCUGCCAGGGAAUCCCACUGGCAAAAACUCAACUGGAAGAGACAGGGCAGAGGAGGGCGGUUGGCACAGUCCUUCGAGUGAGCCUGGGGCAUGCAGCAGGGUGGGUGCAGGUGCAGAGUGCGUCUGGAGGGACAGAAGGAGAACAUCUAGCCCACCUCCCAAGGCUGUGACCCCGGAACCCUGUGCUUGCCUGGUAUGUAAUGCUGUAUUGUGAUUGGCUGUUUCCUUGUCUGUAUCUCCUCCAAGACUCAACUCUCCUGGAGGGCAGGGGCUGUGCUUUGUUCACACAUACUCAAUAAACUCCAUUGGGUAAAAUAAAUAACAAGGCUGCUCAGAUUCACCGUAACAUCACAUUUCUCUGCUUGGGAUGCAAUUAAAUCAUCUCCAUGUGGAAGCAGCGGUUAUCUUCUGCCAUCAGCAGCUUCGGAUUACCAGGUCUGUAGGCCCAACUAAUAAAACACAAGCCAGCAAAGUUAAUUAGUCAUUUAAUGAAUUCAAUUUGUCUAGCAGACAAAAAUCCUUCAACACAAGUCAUGAGGCGAGAGUGAGAACAAUAAAAGGAGUCCUCCCUGCUGAAAAUCUCUGAAAACACCCCCUCAGCCAUGAGGGCUGGGCUAUUUCGAGGGUGUUCACAUUUCUUGUGUAACUCAGAGCAGGCCAAAGUAUGGUUCUCCCAGGCCAACCAAGCCCUCAAUUUCAAAUACAUCUUUGUGGAGGAGCCCCUAUGGGUCUGCCUGCCUCUCUCGGUCUCUGCUGCCCCUAUACAGCCCGGGCCACCAAUCGAUACCUCCAAGCUAUCCGCUGCCUAAGAAGCACCAAGAGUCUCACCACCUUCCACCCCUGGCCAGCCUCACCUCCUUUCUUCUCUUUGCCCAGUACCCCAGAUCUCAUCAUGCUUCUGCUCAAAACCUCAUAAUAGCUUCUGGUUUCACUUAGAAGGCAGUCCACGUUCCUUAUCCGGCUGGGCUCCUCCCCACCCACUUCACAGUUGCACUUGGGCUGUCAGCCAGGACUGUUUCCCUGCCUCCUGCUCCUUGCUAGGACUGCGGGUCUCAGUUUCAAUGUCAUUUACUCAGAGGAGCCUUCUCAGAGUCUCCUGUUCUGUUCUCACGAUGGCCUGUGCUUUUCCACCUCAGUGCUCAGUACAACUGGGAAAAUUCACUGCAACUCAUUGUGCGAUUAAACAGGGCCUGCCUGUCCAUGCUGCUGCGAGCUUAGUGACAGCAGGUACCUGGACUGCUUUCUCAACUGCUGGAUCCCCAGUGGCCUGGUCAGUUACCUUCACUACACAUUUGUUGGACAAAUAACAAAGUAAAGGUCUUUCCUGGAAUGCCAACAAGCUUGCUGGGGAGACAAAAGCUGACAUAUAAAACUCUUCAGAACAGCACAGGGUGAUUUGGGUAUAGCUAUCUCCAGAUACCUUGGCCCUUGUUCUUGGAGUUUUAGGAAUUCAGAGAAAGGAAGAAAGGAUCUGAAGGACCUAGUGAAGACUCUCCUUGAGGCCACUCAUUUCAGGGAAGCGAAGGGAAGAGGGUGGGAGAAGUAGCUUUUGUUGUGUACCCAACAGACCAGAAAUCUAUAAUACAAUAUCUUUUUCAAGCCUCAUGAUUGGCUGAGUUUUACAAAUGAGGAAAUUAAGGACAGAGAAGUAAAGUAAGUCAUCCAAGGUCACACAGCAAGGAGGUGGCAGAGCCAAGAAUCGACCCAGGCGGGUCAGAUUCAAGCUUGCGUUCCUGUCACUAGGCAUAGGACAGGAAGUGGGGUGGUAAGAUGUCACCCCUAGGCCAAGGGGGCAGUGGUUUAAAUGGGGGCUCAGGUCAGAAAAGCAUCCUAUCUAUGGUAAUGCGGGAACCUGGCUUUGUUCUGAUACUGAACUCAGAUCUGAGACGCCACCCAGGUGUAUGUUAUAUGGGUUCUGAGAGGUCCAGCAGCAAGCAGGGCAGUUGGGCCCACCCCAGAGCAGCUGUACGCCCUUGGAGAUGGCCUGAAAUUGGCCAAGCUCUGGAAUGAGGGUCUGGGCAUUGCUCCCAGCAUCUGACCUUGGAAGGAAGCAGAAGCAGAGCUGUGGUUUUGAAGAUUUUCCUUCCCCAACGGAGACCCAUUGCAGCCUGUUAUGAAGGACCCAGCACAGGUAGAGAGAGCCAACAAGGUGGAAUGGGGGGCUCUGGCUUGGUGAGAUGGGGGAGGAGAAAGAGGGGUCACUCCUGCCAAGCUGACCUCAGCUGGGUAAUGUGAUCAGCCUGUCAUGGUUCUGAGCCCUGAUUUGGGAAGAACAAAGAGGCCAGGCCCCUCUGCCUCCUCUAGCCCAGGAAUGCAGCUGGGGGCCAGGCCGUGACCAAUGGGGAAUGCAGGUUGGGAGCGCAGCGAAUGCAGUUUGUAGAGCAAGGCUUUCAUGCACUGAUGGGAGCCCCACUCACAAAGCCAGGCUGACAUGCCCCCGCGCUUCCAACUUUGAUAUCCCAGCCCCGCCUUGGGGGAGCCGCACAUCCCCAAGCUGUCUGUGCCCAACUGCCCCGCUGUGGCCCUCGAGUGAUGAUGGGGUGAAGAGUGGAGAGCUCAGAUCCCAACUCCCCUCAACCCCACCAGGAUUCCUAGACACCAACAUCUCCUUGUCCGUCUCUCUCCACCUCGGGAUGUCUGAGGAAUGGACAGGGGGAAACAGCCUCCAGCUCCUGAGGGCUGAGAGAGAUGGAUGGAGAGACAGAAAGAUGGACCACGAGAGAGGCCGCGGGCCUCAGGCAGCCCCUGCUCUGAGCAGGUCACAGAAACUCCUUGAGGCCACCCACUCCAGGGAAAUGAAUAAUGUUAGAGGUGGGGGUUUCACUCCUGGCUUGGACAUCUGAAUACUUUCUGCAUUCCAAAGCUGCUAGCUCCCCUUCUCCAGCCCCAGUCUCUUUUCCCACUGGCCGAUUCACUCAGUGUGGGGUCCUUCAGGACUGCCCUUUUCUGCCUUCUCAAUUAUCCACUGCCCCCUCCCUCCUGGUGUCUCUGUGCUCCUGCGCUUCCUCUCCUCCUGGGUGUUAAUAAUGACAGUGCUUUACAGUUUACAAAGCACAAUCACCUGCAGUAACUCGUUUGAUUCUUAUAGGAGCCCUGUGCAGCAGGGACUCUGAUCCUCAUUGCAUGCAGGAAGAGAAGAAGGAAGAGGAGGUGGAGGCUUGAUGAGGAGGUGGUGGCCUGUGAUGGCAAGAGUGAGAUGGGGAGAAUGUCCAGCGGGAGAAGUAAGGGCCAGGAGCUUGAAGGAACUGUGAAAUAAAGAUAUUUCACCUUGAA
Molecule: long non-coding RNA, 4753 nt
Organism: Homo sapiens (human)
Lineage: Eukaryota; Metazoa; Chordata; Mammalia; Primates; Hominidae
Exons: 2
Source: RefSeq, a predicted model, not a curated record